AUUGAACGCUGGCGGCAGGCCUAACACAUGCAAGUCGAGCGGAUGAAGGGAGCUUGCUCCUGGAUUCAGCGGCGGACGGGUGAGUAAUGCCUAGGAAUCUGCCUGGUAGAGGGGGAUAACGUCCGGACACGGGCGCUAAUACCGCAUACGUCCUGAGGGAGAAAGUGGGGGAUCUUCGGACCUCACGCUAUCAGAUGAGCCUAGGACGGAUUAGCUAGUUGGUGGGGUAAGGGCCUACCAAGGCGACGAUCCGUAACUGGUCUGAGAGGAUGAUCAGUCACACUGGAACUGAGACACGGUCCAGACUCCUACGGGAGGCAGCAGUGGGGAAUAUUGCACAAUGGGCGAAAGCCUGAUCCAGCCAUGCCGCGUGUGUGAAGAAGGUCUUCGGAUUGUAAAGCACUUUAAGUUGGGAGGAAGGGCAGUAAGUUAAUCCCUUGCUGUUUUGACGUUACCAACAGAGUAAGCACCGGCUAACUUCGUG
This 484-nucleotide ribosomal RNA is filed under the name uncultured bacterium. Its description in RNAcentral is "partial 16S ribosomal RNA". It matches the Rfam family "Bacterial small subunit ribosomal RNA", at positions 30 to 507 of the family's 1533-position model. The record is from RNAcentral.